This 69-nucleotide transfer RNA is filed under the name Aphrophora sp. EMHAU-15062701. Its description in RNAcentral is "tRNA-Gln". It matches the Rfam family "tRNA". From Rfam's summary of the family: Transfer RNA (tRNA) molecules are approximately 80 nucleotides in length. Lineage: Eukaryota; Metazoa; Arthropoda; Insecta; Hemiptera; Aphrophoridae. The record is from RNAcentral.
UAUAUUAAAGUGUAAGAAGCACAUUAUUUUUUGAAAUUAAAAGAAUUAGUUUGAUUCUAAUUAAUAUAA